UGGGGAAUAUUGGACAAUGGGCGCAAGCCUGAUCCAGCCAUGCCGCGUGAGUGAUGAAGGCCCUAGGGUUGUAAAGCUCUUUCACCGGUGAAGAUAAUGACGGUAACCGGAGAAGAAGCCCCGGCUAACUUCGUGCCAGCAGCCGCGGUAAUACGAAGGGGGCUAGCGUUGUUCGGAUUUACUGGGCGUAAAGCGCACGUAGGCGGAGUUUUAAGUCAGGGGUGAAAUCCCGGGGCUCAACCCCGGAACUGCCUUUGAUACUGGAAGUCUUGAGUAUGGUAGAGGUGAGUGGAAUUCCGAGUGUAGAGGUGAAAUUCGUAGAUAUUCGGAGGAACACCAGUGGCGAAGGCGGCUCACUGGACCAUUACUGACGCUGAGGUGCGAAAGCGUGGGGAGCAAACAGG
This 404-nucleotide ribosomal RNA is filed under the name Actinomycetes bacterium. RNAcentral describes it as "Actinobacteria bacterium partial 16S ribosomal RNA". It matches the Rfam family "Bacterial small subunit ribosomal RNA", at positions 355 to 776 of the family's 1533-position model. Lineage: Bacteria; Bacillati; Actinomycetota; Actinomycetes. The record is from RNAcentral.